This 497-nucleotide ribosomal RNA is filed under the name uncultured bacterium. RNAcentral describes it as "partial 16S ribosomal RNA". It matches the Rfam family "Bacterial small subunit ribosomal RNA", at positions 28 to 507 of the family's 1533-position model. The record is from RNAcentral.
GAUGAACGCUGGCGGCGUGCCUAAUACAUGCAAGUCGAGCGAACGGACGAGAAGCUUGCUUCUCUGAUGUUAGCGGCGGACGGGUGAGUAACACGUGGAUAACCUACCUAUAAGACUGGGAUAACUUCGGAAAACCGGAGCUAAUACCGGAGAAUAUUUUGAACCGCAGGGUUCAAAAGAGAAAGACGGUCUUGCUGCCACUUCUCGCUGGAUCCGCGCUGCAUUAGCUAGUUGGUAAGGUAACGGCUUACCAAGGCAACGAUGCAUAGCCGACCUGAGAGGCUGAUCGGCCACCCUGGAACGGGGCCACGGUCCAGACUCCUACGGGAGGCAGCAGUCGGGAAUCUUCCGCAAUGGGCGAAAGCCUUACGCAGCAGCGCCGCGUGAGUGAUGACGGUCUUCGGAUCGUAAAACUCUGUUAUUAGGUAAGAACAUAUGUGGAAGUAACUGUGCACAUCUUGACGGUACCUAAUCAGAAAGCCCCGGCUAACUACGUG